Molecule: ribosomal RNA, 545 nt
Filed under: Sphaerellopsis melampsorinearum
Lineage: Eukaryota; Fungi; Ascomycota; Dothideomycetes; Pleosporales; Leptosphaeriaceae
Description: Sphaerellopsis sp. PAGZ-2023a partial large subunit ribosomal RNA
Rfam family: Eukaryotic large subunit ribosomal RNA
Source: RNAcentral
UUCCUUGGAACAGGACGUCACAGAGGGUGAGAAUCCCGUACGUGGUCGCUAGCCUCCGCCGUGUAAAGCCCCUUCGACGAGUCGAGUUGUUUGGGAAUGCAGCUCUAAAUGGGAGGUAAAUUUCUUCUAAAGCUAAAUACUGGCCAGAGACCGAUAGCGCACAAGUAGAGUGAUCGAAAGAUGAAAAGCACUUUGGAAAGAGAGUCAAAUAGCACGUGAAAUUGUUGAAAGGGAAGCGCUUGCAGCCAGACUUGCCUGUAGUUGCUCAUCCGGGCUUUUGCCCGGUGCACUCUUCUACAGGCAGGCCAGCAUCAGUUUGGGCGGUUGGAUAAAGGUCUCUAUCACGUACCUCUCUUCGGGGAGGCCUUAUAGGGGAGACGUCAUGCAACCAGCCUGGACUGAGGUCCGCGCAUUUGCUAGGAUGCUGGCGUAAUGGCUGUAAGCGGCCCGUCUUGAAACACGGACCAAGGAGUCUAACAUCUAUGCGAGUGUUUGGGUGUCAAGCCCGAGCGCGUAAUGAAAGUGAACGGAGGUGGGAACCCUUU